This 254-nucleotide ribosomal RNA is filed under the name uncultured bacterium. RNAcentral describes it as "partial 16S ribosomal RNA". It matches the Rfam family "Bacterial small subunit ribosomal RNA", at positions 524 to 776 of the family's 1533-position model. The record is from RNAcentral.
GACGAACCGUGCGAACGUUAUUCGGAAUCACUGGGCUUAAAGCGCGUGUAGGCGGGGCGGAACGUCGGCCGCUGAAAUUCCCCGGCUCAACCGGGGAAGGGGCGCCGAUACGACCGCCCUGGAGCGACGUAGGGGGGACUGGAACUUCCGGUGGAGCGGUGAAAUGCGUUGAGAUCGGAAGGAACACCAAUAGCGAAGGCAGCUCGCUGGGACGGUACUGACGCUAAGGCGCGAAAGCGUGGGGAGCGAACAGG